RNAcentral lists this long non-coding RNA (826 nucleotides) under Salvator merianae (Argentine black and white tegu). Its description in RNAcentral is "lncRNA (ENSSMRG00000008234.1)". Lineage: Eukaryota; Metazoa; Chordata; Lepidosauria; Squamata; Teiidae. The record is from RNAcentral.
GGGGGAUCUCUGCAAAUGGACCCUUGUGAGCGUUCUCUCAAGUUAAAUUGGAACUAUGAUGUCAUCUCAAGGUGAAAGAAGCUGUAACGAAGAAGACAAGCGGUUUGAGUUACUGAGGGAGAAGAAGAGCAUGGGAAAAUCUAGGCAACACGAAACGGCGGCGGGGGGCAGGCGGGAAAACGCCAGGCAAAUUGUGUUUACUUUUGAAUGCAUGGACCAGUGCCAGGAGACCUGCGGAUGAUGAUCUUUUUGACACAGUGAUUGGCUGUUCGGGUUUGUUAUGCUUUCAGUAUUUUGAUACAAAUGCAGCUUCUAUAAAUUUGCAUUCCACGCAGAAAUGCAGUCUGGAUGGUUGUUUGCAGAAGGAAGCUAUAUCUUUCUGUCUCAAGCAUUACACCAAUUUGUUGGCAGCAUCAUGUGGCAGUCCCAACACAGCAAGGUUAUAAAGAAGCAGAAGUCCCUAAGUCCUUCACCGCCUCAUGAACCCAGACUGUUGUUAGCAAUGGACACAAGCAUCAAGUUAAGGGCUGGAGGGCUGUUUCCUGUGGUUCCAGUGUUAGGCUUUGACACCAACACACCCACUACAGAGAGCAACAGCACACACAGCCAAGGAAUGUCAGAAAACACAGUCUCCAUCACAGAAUUUCUUAGGCCAGCAAUAUUACACAAAAUCGAUCUUCAACAGAAGAAUACUGUAUCUGAGAAAAUACAACUUUUAAAAAUUAAUAUUCAGAAAGAAAGAAUAAAACUGUUUGCAGAUCGAGGGGCUUUUAUUUAAUUAUUUGAUUGAAAUAAAACAAUAUUUUAAAUAUAUACUGAGCUUUUA